Molecule: ribosomal RNA, 402 nt
Filed under: uncultured bacterium
Lineage: Bacteria
Description: bacterial SSU rRNA
Rfam family: Bacterial small subunit ribosomal RNA
Source: RNAcentral
UGGGGAAUAUUGGACAAUGGGCGCAAGCCUGAUCCAGCCAUGCCGCGUGAGUGAUGAAGGCCCUAGGGUUGUAAAGCUCUUUUGUGCGGGAAGAUAAUGACUGUACCGCAAGAAUAAGCCCCGGCUAACUUCGUGCCAGCAGCCGCGGUAAUACGAAGGGGGCUAGCGUUGCUCGGAAUCACUGGGCGUAAAGGGUGCGUAGGCGGGUCUUUAAGUCAGGGGUGAAAUCCUGGAGCUCAACUCCAGAACUGCCUUUGAUACUGAGGAUCUUGAGUUCGGGAGAGGUGAGUCGAGCUGCGAGUGUCGAGGUGAAAUUCGUAGAUAUUCGCAAGAACACCAGUGGCGAAGGCGGCCCACUGGCCCGAUACUGACGCUGAGGCACGAAAGCGUGGGGAGCAAACA